Molecule: long non-coding RNA, 599 nt
Organism: Heterocephalus glaber (naked mole-rat)
Lineage: Eukaryota; Metazoa; Chordata; Mammalia; Rodentia; Bathyergidae
Source: Ensembl
CGCGUAACUUCCUCUUUCAGGCCCAAAACACGUAAAACGUGAUACGUGGCUGCUGGCGUCGGCUCAAGGGGGCGGGGAGAGUCCUUUGCCAGCCAACGAGAGGCGGCCUGCGGGGUGUGGAUAAGGGAGUGGGCGCUUCAAGGGGGGCGGAGGUCCUCGGCCUGUUAUCCUUGGAGUUUCUUGUAAACUUUGGUAGGGAAAGAGAGGCGUGGGGAUUACACGGAUGUGGGGAUGUGGGCGCCCACAUCCGAAACGCCUACGCCCCAAUUGCAGAUCCAAUAGGUCUUGAGCUGGGAAUUUCGGUUACCGUUUCUAGGCGCUCGGGAAGCCGCGCAGGCGCACGGGGCACAGAAUGGUCGUGGACACGCAGUACUCCUCGCGUCCUGGCACGUGGUUUAUGAGGGCUGAAUUGAAAUUUUGAACUUCGCUACUGCCUCUGGGGAGCCCAGCACAUCCUACAGCUCACCUGUACCACACCUUCCAAAACAUAGCCAGCUGUUUUAAGUUGCUCACAUUGCAGGAGUACAUCCCUGCACACCUUUUACCAGACCGAAGUCACCAGGAUAGGCAAUUUCCAGGGAACCCAACUAUGCCUGAGA